UACAGAGGGUGCGAGCGUUAAUCGGAAUUACUGGCGUAAAGGGCGCGUAGGUGGUUGGACAAGUGAGAUGUGAAAUCCCCGGGCUUAACCCGGGAACUGCAUUUUAUACUGUCUGGCUGGAGUACUGUAGAGGGUAGUGGAAUUUCCGGUGUAGCGGUGAAAUGCGUAGAGAUCGGAAGGAACACCGGUGGCGAAGGCGGCAUCCUGGACCAACACUGACACUGAGGAGCGAAAGCCAGGGGAGCAAACGGG
This 252-nucleotide ribosomal RNA is filed under the name uncultured bacterium. RNAcentral's name for it is "partial 16S ribosomal RNA". It matches the Rfam family "Bacterial small subunit ribosomal RNA", at positions 524 to 776 of the family's 1533-position model. The record is from RNAcentral.